This 253-nucleotide ribosomal RNA is filed under the name uncultured Spartobacteria bacterium. RNAcentral's name for it is "partial 16S ribosomal RNA". It matches the Rfam family "Bacterial small subunit ribosomal RNA", at positions 524 to 776 of the family's 1533-position model. Lineage: Bacteria; Pseudomonadati; Verrucomicrobiota; Spartobacteria. The record is from RNAcentral.
UACAGAGGUCUCAAGCGUUGUUCGGAUUCAUUGGGCGUAAAGGGUGCGUAGGUGGCGGGGUAAGUCAGGUGUGAAAUCUCGAGGCUCAACCUCGAAACUGCACUUGAUACUGCCUUGCUUGAGUACUGGAGAGGAGAUUGGAAUUUACGGUGUAGCAGUGAAAUGCGUAGAUAUCGUAAGGAAGACCAGUGGCGAAGGCGAAUCUCUGGACAGUUACUGACACUGAGGCACGAAAGCCGGGGGAGCAAACAGG